CAGGGGCCCGUUUUACUGAAAGCCUACCCCUGUUAAAUAACAGCUUGAAAUAAAUUUAAAGAAUAA
This 66-nucleotide non-coding RNA is filed under the name Pelodictyon luteolum DSM 273. RNAcentral's name for it is "Lnt RNA". It matches the Rfam family "Lnt RNA". The record is from RNAcentral. Lineage: Bacteria; Pseudomonadati; Chlorobiota; Chlorobiia; Chlorobiales; Chlorobiaceae.